Uranotaenia lowii is the source of this 4736-nucleotide RNA transcript. It is a transcript of the gene named putative leucine-rich repeat-containing protein DDB_G0290503, with no coding region annotated. NCBI's taxonomy places the organism in Eukaryota, Metazoa, Arthropoda, Insecta, Diptera, Culicidae. The transcript has 5 exons. The record is from RefSeq and is a predicted model, not a curated record.
UCGGGGAGGAACUUCCGGUGAGGCCGAACGUGGGCGCCAACGCUAACGGAAAUCUCAACGGAAGCCAUCCGAAAGAUCACCCGCACCACCAAAACAAUCAUAACGUAUGGACCGACACGACGCACGACAAGCACGAGCACGAAGAUCUGAUCAUGCACCACCAUUCGGAGCGAUCGGAUUCGGGAGUCACUUCACCGAACAGCCACCAUCAUCUGUCGGAUUCGGAUCAUCGGACCAGUGGAGUUCCGUCGCCGUGUUGCGAUCUGUCCCUUCUGGAUCAGAUCCCGACCGAUGACGUUCGGAAGCGUAUCAUUCUGAUGAGCAAACGGUCGUGCUACGACGAGGACGACAAGAUGUGUCUGCUACAGGUGCUCUCGUUGCUCAACAAUCUAGAGGCGCUCUCGCAGGAUCACGAGAUUGCGGCCGACGAAAUGAGCCUGGAGAUGAAUGUGAAAUACAUUUACCCAUUUUCGGACAACAACCAAUCAAAAUCUAUAACAUCAACAUCGGCACCAUCGAUGCUCGCAACAUCAACACCCUUUAAAAAUGUCCAACCGAGCAGUGGAAAAAUGGUGGCUACAGUACAACCAUUCAAUAACAACGGACCAGCAUCACUAACAACGUCGACAGUCAGCAAUACCAGUCAAAGCAAUGGAACUGCAAGCGAAUCACCAAAGAGCUUCUCGAUCGCAUCGAUCGCCGAACAGUUUGGAGGCAUGAAGAAAUCUUCCAAGUGGGGCUCGACCAGUUUACAGGAAAGCGGUGUGUUUGUGGAUGAAAUUGUUGGAAGUGGAGUUGUCACGAGUUGCUGCGGAACUCAGACCGAGGUGGAGGACUUCCCUUGUUUGGAAAGGACGAAUGCUGAAUUGUGUGCCGAGAUUGAGAAGUUAAAUCGCUUUCGACAGAAGAUUGAGGAAUGCUCGAGUAGGAGAAAGAGUCCUGGGAAGAGCCCGGUUGGGCUGAGUUUAUCUUUACCUGCGGAGUCUUGCGAGAAACGGAGGUUGCAAUUUUACGAAGACCGGCUGGAGCAAUUGGAGAACAAGCUGAAGGUGUAUGAGAGUAGUGGAGACAAGCAGUUGCGACACUUGGCGGAGAGAUUACAGCGAGAAAUUCAACUAGAAGGAUGGGUGACGCAGCUGAGUGAGAAGCUCGAUAAGAUGGAAGACGAGAACGAGAGACUGGAAGAAGAGAGAUGUGAGCUGGAGGAAAUUGAAAACGAUACGCGGUUGAGGUUGCAGCGAAUGGAGGUGGAUUUUGAAGUCAUGAGCCAGAGGAAUACGGAGCUGGAGAUGAGCAAGUGUUCGUAUCAGACAAAGUACCAAGAUGCCAGGGAUAGUAUAGUAAGUUUGGAGGAGCUGGUACACAAGUGUGAAGAGAGGAUAUUUGUGCUAGAAGAAACCGAGAACGAGCUAAAUGAUCGGAUAGAUCUAGUCUUGGCGUUUAUUCCGCUUUUGUUAAUGUUUAACAGUUGGCAGAUUCACGAGCAGUUGGCAAGCAGACGAAAGCAGAUCGCUCUUAACUACAUACCACCUGAACAUAUCGAGUACUAUGAAUCAACAAACGAUGAUCUGCAAAUGAGACUGAACGAGUUGAUGAAUCGAGAAAAGGAACUCACCCAGAACAUUGCUGAACUGAAUCGAGCGUAUAACGAGACGCUGGAGAAUGCCGAUAAUCUGUGGGCGCAAAUGGAAAAAGAGUACAAAGAUAAAAUCAACAAGUGCGAGACUGUGGAGGCAAAUCUGAAGUCAAAGAUCGCACAGCUGGAAGAGCGUCUUAGCAAGGACAGCGAAUACGCUCAUGAGCGAAUCGCUCAUUUGGAAGAAGCAGAGAGCAAUCUCAAGAGCCGAGUGUCGAAGCUGAACAAAGAGAACAAAGAACUUCUCGCUAAGCAUGCUGCACUGCUUGAAGAAUACAGUACCUUGAAGGAGGAGUACAGGAAGUUGCAGAACUACUUAAGAGGUCCAGCAGCCGAGAAUCUGGAAAAGGAGAAACGCAAAAUCCUAACGCUGGAGGAAGAACUCAUCCACAGCACUCUGCAGCUGAAGGAAGUCGAAGAAUCACACAAAUCAGAAGUCGGUCAAAUGCGAGGAAAAUUGAUUGGCGUCACCAAAGAACUGAACCAUAUUGAGGUUACCAACAGUGAGCUUAGGGAGGAGGUUGAAACGCUCGAAUGUCGCAUCCGAGAACUGCUAACACUGCGAAAUUGUGACGAGGAACGCAUUAAGCAUCUCACCGAGGAGCUACACUUCAAACAAUCCCAGAUCAAUCAGCUGCAGCACUUUAACGGUGGUCACUCGAAAGGUCGCAGCCUGGCCCAAGAACUUGAACGACCCAUCAAGGGAUCCUACUCGAAGCUGGGCUACGAGAUUCAUCCGCUAACCCGAAGAUUCCCUGGGGAUAGCGAUAGCAGUGGAAGCGAGGAUAAAUCCCGUUUCCCGGUCACCAAAACCAUCACGGUCGGAGCGGCCGAAGCCAAAGAGGUCAAGAGUCUGGCCGAAACCAUCAUCCUGAAUGCGGAAAACCGCGGCGUCCGCGCACCAAAGAAGUCAUUUGUUGAAGAGGCCCGUAGCCGAUUUGCGCGUUGGGUGUAAAUAAGAAAACAAAAAUCCAUAAAUCACUCAAAUAUUUUACCAAAAAUCCAAAACAAACCAACCCUUGAAAAUAUCAAAAACAAAACAGAAAAAAAUUGAAAACAUUUUACACGAAAAAAAAACACCCACAUCAUCCAAUCGAUCGAUCCCGAUGUGAUCCGGUGGAAAGGAAUUUUCGGGGGCCAAUAACAUGGUUUUUUGCAUCCCAGUAGCCUUAAUCCUGGAUUUAAUCCAGCUUGUGUGGACCUCAUUCGUUGUCAUCAUCAUCAUCAUCAUAUUUAUACGCAUUUUUCUUGCCAUCUGGAUUCGGUUGAAUGGGCCUUCGUGUGAGUGUUAGCUUUUGAUAAGAGACGCAACCAGUUGUCCGAACUUUACAUACAGUUCAUGGUUGAAGAUUUCCAGAUGUGUCUAUACUAAUCGCCGACGAAGGAUAUCGUGAGAGUAAACCAAUCUAAGCCAUGUAUGAUGUAAAAUGACUAUCGUGAAAUGCGUAGACACUUGGCGAUCGGAACCGGAAAUGGAAAAGCAAAACCUCUAUUGAAAAUUGAAAAUCCCACCCAUCUAACCCCAAAUGAUGCGAGCGCAGGGUGGAUCGAAUUGAUGAGAAGAUUGUUAAGGAAUUGAAUCUAGUCGUUGAUUUUGUUGUUAGUACUAGUUGUGUUUAGCCAGAGCAGGAAAUUAGGGGAAAGAAAUCUUCACAGGCAUAUGAAAGGCUUUACACUCAAACGGUCCCAAAACUUUGGCAUCUUCAAUUGAGCUCAGCCGGUUUAGUUUUAGUAAGCAUAAACAGAAACUUAAUUGUUACACACUCCAAUUACCAAUUUUUGUACAGUUUUGUUUUUACAGAAGCACCUACCCACACAUAACAGUUGAUAAAACGUAAUUAUUUAAGCAAACUCCCCUCUACGUUAGAAUUCAAAACGACGAAAAAACGAACGAAAUCUCUUGCGAAACUUUGUUAAUACUCAGAUUUAUUUUUGUUUAAAAUAACAGAAAAAGUUUAAUUUCAUGAAAACUACCCAUUCAUCUGUUCAAUCAGUCAAGGAAAGGAAUUUGGAAUUUGUUACUAACAGAAACCACCCUAUUUGAUUUGAUUCGUUUCGCUGCAGUUUUAAUUCGUUCAGUUUUUUUUUUUCUGAGUUUUGUUACGAACUCGAUUAUUUAUUUUUAAGUUUUUUAGUUUUAUUGCCAAAACUGCCAAAAAGAUUAUACUCACCCAGCAACAGGACCCUUUCUCACGACACGAUGGCACUUGGUUUUCAUCAUUAUUUCCCAGUUUGCGAAUAAUUAUGUUAAGCUCUUUUGCACUGCACGUUACGCCCGUAAGUUGUAGGUUUUAGUAUCUUUAUUUUGUUUAGUUCGGUUUAAGCUCCAGUAAGUUGUGAUUAUUUUUAAACUGUCAACCGAAGAACGGGGAAAGUUUUCCCUUAAAGAAGUUUGACCAGUUGUUAGUACAAUUUUGUUCGUUUAAAACAACCAAGAAUUUUGAACAAUCUUCAGAAGAAUUACUUUCUUUACUUUGAUUAUGUUUUUCUUAUUUUCUGUACAAAUUCAGUCAAUUUUUUCUUCGUUCUAUCAUUAGUUUGAAAUUGCGAAUCGCUCAUAUCGACUCGAAAGAAAAACGUAACAAAAUACUUACGAAUCUAGUUGUUGUUUCUCUGUUAGAAAGUCAUUCAAUCAGUUAGAUUGAAGAAGAAAAACAUAAUUAUCCGAACCCAAAUCACUAAGAAGUGAAUCAAUGCAAUCAAACAUAAACCUAAAAUACUCCUCUACAAAGAUUGAGAUAACCUUGCAUGAAGGUGUUAUAUUUGUAUGAAGAUAUCUUGUAGCAAGUUACAUAACAAACAAACCCACACCAAUUGAAACAAAAUAACCUAAUCAGUGAGUUAGUGAGCUUCCAUGAGCUUAAAAAUCGGUACUAGAAGAAAUCCACCUCACAAGGCAAAUAAUUUAUUCUCAAUACGACCAAUGCUUUUUUACGAUGGAGAAUGUACCAUUCAAAACACCAGAAUAUCCUAUGGGACGGAUAAGAUUUGAAAACAUGAAAAACAUUGUUGUAUUGUGGAAGCACAUAACCUCCCCACGAAUUCCCUCAAAAAAGGAUAGCGAACAGGAAAAAUACAAACUGAAAUUUUUGAUUCAAAA